AUGGUGCUCAAUGGUGGAGCAUGGGUGAGCAUGGCCCGGAUUCUCAGUCCGUGAACAGGGGUUCGACUCCCCUUGGGAGUACCA
This 84-nucleotide transfer RNA is filed under the name Planctomycetota bacterium. Its description in RNAcentral is "Planctomycetes bacterium (soil metagenome) tRNA-OTHER". The record is from RNAcentral. Lineage: Bacteria; Pseudomonadati; Planctomycetota.